GAAAUGCGAUAAGUAAUGUGAAUUGCAGAAUUCAGUGAAUCAUCGAAUCUUUGAACGCACAUUGCGCCCGCCAGUAUUCUGGCGGGCAUGCCUGUUCGAGCGUCAUUACAACCCUCAGGCCCCCGGGCCUGGCGUUGGGGAUCGGCGGAAGCCCCCUGCGGGCACAACGCCGUCCCCCAAAUACAGUGGCGGUCCCGCCGCAGCUUCCAUUGCGUAGUAGCUAACACCUCGCAACUGGAGAGCGGCGCGGCCACGCCGUAAAACACCCCACUUCUGAAUGUUGACCUCGAAUCAGGUAGGAAUACCCGCUGAACUUAAGC
Molecule: unclassified non-coding RNA, 320 nt
Filed under: plant metagenome
Description: partial contains 5.8S ribosomal RNA, internal transcribed spacer 2, and large subunit ribosomal RNA
Rfam family: 5.8S ribosomal RNA (bases 1-105)
Source: RNAcentral